GGGGGCGUCACGGUUUCGACGGGCGCGCUCUGGCGAAGGAAGCAGGCGGAGUUCCGAGCACUCCUAAAACGAUCGGACAACGUAUAAACGCAAACAGCGAAUACGCACUGGCAGCCUAAUCUAGGCUAACCACGCCUGCGGGGCAACGGCGCCGUCACGGGCCCGCAGGUGUCAAACAAGUACGGCUACCGGCGUAGGUGUCUUGAUGCGCUGGGAAAUGAAGCGAGACUAGUGGCCGCGGCAAUCCCGCUCGGGGGAGUACGUGGCUGCGAAUCAAAAGCCCGAGCUAAGCCUGUAGAUGCCGUCGUGGGAGCCGUUUCGGACACCGGUUCAACUCCGGUCGCCUCCACCA
This is a transfer-messenger RNA of 352 nucleotides. It matches the Rfam family "transfer-messenger RNA". From Rfam's summary of the family: Bacterial tmRNA, also known as 10Sa RNA or SsrA, is named for its dual tRNA and mRNA-like properties. Its role is to liberate the mRNA from a stalled ribosome.